GACGAACGCUGGCGGCGUGCUUAACACAUGCAAGUCGAACGGAAAGGCCCUGCUUUUGUGGGGUGCUCGAGUGGCGAACGGGUGAGUAACACGUGUGUAACCUGCACUUGACUUUGGGAUAACUUCAGGAAACUGGGGCUAAUACCGGAUAGGAGCUCUUGCUGCAUGGUGGGGGUUGGAAAGUUUCGGCGGUUGGGGAUGGACUCGCGGCUUAUCAGCUUGUUGGUGGGGUAGUGGCUUACCAAGGCUUUGACGGGUAGCCGGCCUGAGAGGGUGACCGGCCACAUUGGGACUGAGAUACGGCGCAGACGCCUACGGGAGGCAGCAGUGGAGAAUAUUGCACAAUGGGCGGAAGCCUGAUGCGGCAACGCCGCGUGCGGGAUGACGGCCUUCGGGUUGUAAACCGCUUUCGCCUGUGACGAAGCGUGAGUGACGGUAAUGGGUAAAAAAGCACCGGCUAACUACGUG
Molecule: ribosomal RNA, 468 nt
Filed under: uncultured bacterium
Lineage: Bacteria
Description: partial 16S ribosomal RNA
Rfam family: Bacterial small subunit ribosomal RNA
Source: RNAcentral